GAUGAACGCUGGCGGCGUGCCUAAUACAUGCAAGUCGAGCGAACAGAUGAGGAGCUUGCUCCUCUGACGUUAGCGGCGGACGGGUGAGUAACACGUGGAUAACCUACCUAUAAGACUGGGAUAACUUCGGGGAACCGGAGCUAAUACCGGAUAAUAUAUUGAACCGCAUGGUUCAAUAGUGAAAGACGGUUUUGCUGUCACUUAUAGAUGGAUCCGCGCCGCAUUAGCUAGUUGGUAAGGUAACGGCUUACCAAGGCAACGAUGCGUAGCCGACCUGAGAGGGUGAUCGGCCACACUGGAACUGAGACACGGUCCAGACUCCUACGGGAGGCAGCAGUAGGGAAUCUUCCGCAAUGGGCGAAAGCUUGACGGAGCAACGCCGCGUGAGUGAUGAAGGUCUUCGGAUCGUAAAACUCUGUUAUUAGGGAAGAACAAAUGUGUAAGUAACUAUGCACGUCUUGACGGUACCUAAUCAGAAAGCCACGGCUAACUACGUG
Molecule: ribosomal RNA, 497 nt
Filed under: uncultured bacterium
Lineage: Bacteria
Description: partial 16S ribosomal RNA
Rfam family: Bacterial small subunit ribosomal RNA
Source: RNAcentral